AAGACGAGAAGACCCUAUAGAGUUUUAUAUAUUAGUUAAUUAUGAGUUUUUGGUUAUUUAAUUUUUUAAUUAAUUUUUAUAUUUGGUUGGGGUGACUAAAAGAUUAAUUAAACUCUUUAAAAAUUUUGAAUCAUAGAUUUAUGAUUUUUUAAUCUAGUUUUUCUAAAUUUAAAAUAAAUUACCUUAGGGAUAACAGCGUAAUUUCUUUUUAGAGUUCUUAUUGAAAGAGAAGUUUGCGACCUCGAUG
This 247-nucleotide ribosomal RNA is filed under the name Hemicrepidius hirtus. RNAcentral describes it as "partial 16S ribosomal RNA". Lineage: Eukaryota; Metazoa; Arthropoda; Insecta; Coleoptera; Elateridae. The record is from RNAcentral.